ACGGAGGGUGCAAGCGUUGUUCGGAAUCACUGGGCGUAAAGCGCGUGUAGGCGGUUGGAUAAGUCGGAUGUGAAAUCCCGGGGCUUAACCUCGGAAGUGCAUUCGAAACUGUUCAGCUAGAGUACGGGAGAGGGGAGUGGAAUUCCUGGUGUAGAGGUGAAAUUCGUAGAUAUCAGGAGGAACACCGGUGGCGAAGGCGGCUCUCUGGACCGAUACUGACGCUGAGACGCGAAAGCGUGGGGAGCAAACAG
RNAcentral lists this ribosomal RNA (251 nucleotides) under uncultured prokaryote. Its description in RNAcentral is "partial 16S rRNA". It matches the Rfam family "Bacterial small subunit ribosomal RNA", at positions 525 to 775 of the family's 1533-position model. The record is from RNAcentral.